This 261-nucleotide long non-coding RNA is filed under the name Betta splendens (Siamese fighting fish). Its description in RNAcentral is "lncRNA (ENSBSLG00000001253.1)". Lineage: Eukaryota; Metazoa; Chordata; Actinopteri; Anabantiformes; Osphronemidae. The record is from RNAcentral.
UUUUUCCUCCUGCAGUGUGUCAGCAGACAGCUCUUUAUGCACAGGCAGGAGCUCCGCCGACAGCUCUAGAGUUCAGGAGGAGUGCACCAUCAUGAAGCAUGGACGAGCCCAGAAAGGCCUGUCCCAAACCUGAUCCAGUGUCUGACAAAAAUGAAUGGAAUUGCAAUUAAAAAGGUAAGAAAGACGUGAAAACAGUCAUAUUUUUUUCCUGCGGCAACUUCGUCAUCGUAAUCAUAUUUUGGUGUUGACUGAAAUUUACUU